GAUGAACGCUAGCGGCAGGCUUAACACAUGCAAGUCGAGGGGCAGCACGGGUAGCAAUACCUGGUGGCGACCGGCGCAAGGGUGCGUAACGCGUGAGCAACAUGCCCUAUACAGGGGGAUAAUCCAGGGAAACUUGGUCUAAUAUCCCAUAGUAUUUAGAGGAGGCAUCUUCUAUAAAUUAAAGCUUCGGUGGUAUAGGAUUGGCUCGCGUGACAUUAGCUAGAUGGUGAGGUAACGGCUCACCAUGGCAAUGAUGUCUAGGGGUUCUGAGAGGAAGGCCCCCCACACUGGGACUGAGACACGGCCCAGACUCCUACGGGAGGCAGCAGUGAGGAAUAUUGGACAAUGGAUGGAAAUCUGAUCCAGCCAUGCCGCGUGCAGGAAGACAGCCCUAUGGGUUGUAAAGCUCUUUUGUCCGGAAAGAAAAGCGCCGGGUUAAUACCCUGGUGUCCUGACGGUACCGGAAGAAUAAGCACCGGCUAACUUCGUG
RNAcentral lists this ribosomal RNA (490 nucleotides) under uncultured bacterium. Its description in RNAcentral is "bacterial SSU rRNA". It matches the Rfam family "Bacterial small subunit ribosomal RNA", at positions 28 to 507 of the family's 1533-position model. The record is from RNAcentral.